Molecule: long non-coding RNA, 2007 nt
Organism: Cannabis sativa
Lineage: Eukaryota; Viridiplantae; Streptophyta; Magnoliopsida; Rosales; Cannabaceae
Exons: 3
Source: RefSeq, a predicted model, not a curated record
UAUCAAUAUAUCAAUAUAAAGGAAUGCACAAACCUGAUGAGGUGGCGCUCUCUAACAUCAUUUUAAUCUAUAUACUUAUUUAUAAUCACUCAAACAUAUUCUAUCUUUUUUCAUAUUUUCUUUCUUUUUUUAAGUCAAUGUUAAUUAAUAUAUCAUAAAAAUCCUAACGUUCCAACUUUCACAUAAUAUAAUAUUCUAUCCUUUUCACAUUUUCCAAAAUAGUUAAUGUUAAUUAAUAUGAAUUAAUAUAGCAUAAAACCCCUAACGUUCCAACUUAUUUCUAUUCUUUCUUUUCCUCCUAUAUAGUCCCUGAAAAGAAGGAAAAUUUUUAUUCCUUCCUUAUGAGACGCUCAUGGUCCAAUUUGAUUGUCAAAGAGUACACCAAUUUCUAAUUGAUUGUGUUCAGCUUCUCACCUCUCGCCCUCUCAUAUUCCCUCCGUCAUGGACUUCAGCGAUAUUUUGGAUGCAUAGAAGAGGGGCCAAAAUUAUAUCUCUAUGCUAACGAUUACUGUAUGUGAAUUUAGAAUAUUUUUUCAUUUUAUGCUGAUUUCAUUAUUUUUUUUAUCAGGACGAUGUGUUUUAUGUUAAUUUUGAACGUUUUCUAUCUUUUGUUGUUUAUAUCGAUUAUUAUAGGUGAUGAUAACCUAAUCUUACUAUAUAUGCUACUUAAACAAUUUCUAUUGAUAUUGUUUUUUCUCUCUUUCAAGUUUUGCCUGAUUUUAUUUUAUGUAGAAGAGGAUGAAAAAAUAAAGAAAUUGAGAUCAUCUAUGAUGACAAGGUACCUUUUUAUAGCUCCUUCACUCUAUAUAUUUUCAACAAUUUCAUAGCUCAUGUUUAUAUAGAUUAUUAUAUAUGAUGAUCCUAACCUAAUAUUAUUAUAUAUUGUGACUUAAAAAUGUUCUAAUGAUAUUGUUUUUUUUUUUUUGUAUUUUGUCUCUUUCAAUUUUACUUGAUUUUGUUUUCUGUAGAAGAUGAUAAAAAAGAAAAUGAGAUCAUUUCUUAUCACCAGUCUAUUAUUGGUUCUUCACCACAAUAUCUUACAAGGACAUGAGUCAUGCAAUAUGCGGUCUCCAAUUUGCAUGUUUUGUUGUCCAAAGUCUCCAAUUUGUAUCUUUUAUGUCCAAUAUAUCUUACUGAACAUCAUGAUCCCAAUAGUAAGAAGUUUUGGCCAAACGAAGGGAGAAUGAGACUCAUAAAUAAUGAUGGUAGUGAUCUAAUUAUAUAUGUUAGUAUAAACUUAAAAGUGAAUUAUUGUGUUAAAAUGUGAUCAGAAUAAUAUCUUCCUUUUCAUUUGAUUCUUUGACUAAUUUAAUUUAGUUAUGUUCAGUCAAUCUAGGGAUGAGUGUGUUUUGGAUGAAAAGUCACCUUCCUCAAAGUAUCACAACUUUGGAGAGCAACUUUGUUUCUUUUUACAUCAAGGACAAUCCAAAACAUAUAUCCAACAUUUACACCACCUGACUUGCUUUAGGGUGCCAAAAAAUAAAUAAUAACAUGCUCAAUCAUGAAUAAUGAUAUACACCUUAAGUGCUCUUUAGAAAUUUAAAUCAUAUAAAUAAUUAUUCAUUAUAAAUAAUAACAAAAGCCGCGCUGCGCGGUCUUAAAAUAUCUUAAGCUAUAUACAUUUGUUUUAAAAAAAAAAAAGUUUAUGUUUUUAACGAAGGUUAAAUUAGUAAAACACUAAUUAAUUAUUGGACAAAUAAAACUUUAUUUAAAGUUUACAAAUAAAAAACUAUGAUAUUUUUUAAAUGUGAAACUUUUAUAAAGUUAGAUGAUAAAAAAAAAAAUUAAAGUUUCUAAAAAAAAAUAGAAUUGCAUUAAAAUAUAUGAUCCAUCUUAUCAUUCUUAUAGAUUUUUUUAAUUAUUAAUAAUUAAUUUAUUAAAAUAUCUUUUGAAAAAAGUUGAUGAGGUGUAUUUUUUUUCUUAAAAAUUGAUAGUUACUAUUUUUUAAAAAUAAAUUAAUAGUCACUAAUAAUACAUAUAAUUAAAAUAAAAUUUAUAUUGAGAUUC